RNAcentral lists this ribosomal RNA (429 nucleotides) under Actinomycetes bacterium. RNAcentral describes it as "Actinobacteria bacterium partial 16S ribosomal RNA". It matches the Rfam family "Bacterial small subunit ribosomal RNA", at positions 355 to 776 of the family's 1533-position model. Lineage: Bacteria; Bacillati; Actinomycetota; Actinomycetes. The record is from RNAcentral.
UAGGGAAUCUUCCGCAAUGGGCGAAAGCCUGACGGAGCAAUGCCGCGUGAGUGAUGAAGGUCUUCGGAUCGUAAAACUCUGUUAUUAGGGAAGAACAAAUGUGUAAGUAACUAUGCACGUCUUGACGGUACCUAAUCAGAAAGCCACGUCUAACUACGUGCCAGCAGCCGCGGUUAUACGUAGGUGGCAAGCGUUAUCCGGAAUUAUUGGGCGUAAAGCGGGCGUAGGCGGUUUUUUAAGUCUGAUGUGAAAGCCCACGGCUCAACCGUGGAGGGUCAUUGGAAACUGGAAAACUUGAGUGCAGAAGAGGAAAGUGGAAUUCCAGGUGUAGCGGUGAAAUGCGCAGAGAUAGGGAGGAACACCAGUGGCGAAGGCGACUUUCUGGUCUGUAACUGACGCUGAUGUGCGAAAGCGUGGGGAUCAAACAGG